Long non-coding RNA from Bombus terrestris (buff-tailed bumblebee), 4064 nucleotides. RefSeq lists it as uncharacterized. NCBI's taxonomy places the organism in Eukaryota, Metazoa, Arthropoda, Insecta, Hymenoptera, Apidae. The transcript has 7 exons. The record is from RefSeq and is a predicted model, not a curated record.
CAUCAACACGAAUCUCGUGGCCUGAUUCAAUUUCAAGAACAGACGCAAUCACUUAGAACAGAGGAAAAACCCGGCGCAAAGAAGGAAAGCAAGAAGCGGAAAGUAUUUUUCCGGAUGAGCAAGGAGAAUGCUGGUUGAACGCUUCCGGCGUCGCCCAUUAACGCCCGAUUAGAAACAUAUCUUUCGUAAAAUUACCGUUUCCAGCCUUGACUCGAGACCACCGCCCCGGACGCUCGUUCUUUGCCCAAUUGUGGGGCGGUUCUGAUCCAUUCUUUCUCGCUUUUCGUUUCUUUUCAACGCCCACUUGAACACACGAGAAUUGAUAAGAAUCUUAGGACGAUGGAAAUUUGAAAUAAAUUUAUUUGCACAAAAAGCGAAAACACCAAAAAUUUGUAUAUUUUAGUAGAAUAAGGUUUUUAUUCGUACAACUUCCUGGAACUUGGAUUAGCAUAUUGAUGAGAUGGUAAAUUGAUUACCAUUAGAUGGUAAUGACAAAAUCCACACUCAGUUGCCAACCCAAUAAACCUUAAGACGAAAGCUAAGUCUCGGUCAUUGUGAAAUCGUAUCGACGUAACGUCUGUGAAAAAUACGUACUGUAUAAACUACUGUAUAAACUAAAAAAUAACAUACUGUUGCCGAUUAAACGACGGAAGGCUCACGACACUCGUAUCUGAAGGUGUUUCAUAAAUUGUAGAACUUUGUUUUCACAACAGCACAGGUAGAAAGAUGUAUCCGUAAAUCGGAUACUUUGCGAACACACGUUCUAUUCAAUUUCACGAUAUCAAAUUUCUGCGUGCUAAAGAUUAAGUUUAAACGCAAAACGUUUAUUCUCGAAGAUAUAAUUGAUAAUAUAAUCUUCUCCUUAAUCCGUCUUAAUAUUUUGUAAACGUCGAUUAUGUUGCCAUAAUUUAUCAGUAUAUGAAAUUGCUCAUCUAAGAACGAGCGGAUGUUAUCGAAUUAACCUUUAGAAACUCGAUGAAUCUUCGAUGGCGGGGAACGUGGCGAGAUAACGAAAGACACGAUCGAUUUACUGUACGUAUCGUCGAUACACGUAGGUACAUGUGAUAAGCAGAACAGGAAUCUAGGGAUUUUCAGGAUUAGCCGUAACGCUGACAGAAGCGAAACUUACGCGCACUAACUCGACCCGGUUCAGAUCGAACGGUGUCGAUCGGAAUUGCGGCGCGUUAGGUUUGACAUGAGGUAAGCCGUGGAUUCGCCUUGUGAUUAUGAAUUUACCGAUAUCGGUUUAUCCAGCCUCGCAGGAAUUUCAAACUAAUUUGUCGUUCAUAUAGGGAAUUCAAAGCUGUCUCUUAGGUCUUUCUCGUUUCAUGAUAACUGGCAAAAUGUAUUUUGACAAAUACUUAAAUGGAAAAAAUUAAUUAACAUUGACUAGCCUGUGAGAUGAAUUUAUUCUUUACAAAUAGUCGUAAAAAGCUGAAAGAAAUUGAAAUCGUAUCAUCACGAUAGAUACAAUCGAAAAACAUACGUAAUCGACGUAAUUAGACUCGAGCACUGUGAUCAAUAAUAUGCUACAAUCAAGAACACGUGUGAAAUCGAGGCGAUAUUAAUCUAUUGCGACUAAUGCUAAUCAAACAAACGUCAUCGUCUUCCUUCAAACUCUGCACAACGUACAAGUUUUUCAAAUUACAAGCUACCCACUUGAUAUUUUCGUCGCAAUUCCAUCAGCCUUUGCUAUGCAGAGAAAACGACUAGCUUCGUUAAUAAUACGUUACGACCGAAAAAACGUGAGAGAUCAAGGCGAGCCUAAUCUAUUACAUCACGACCAACCGGAUGAACGUUCGUUUUCUUUCAAAUCCCACGCGGUACAAGCUUUCCAAGCUACAAAAUCAUUUACUAAAGUAAUCUAUCCUAAUAAUCUCGUCAGAAACCCAUUCUUUACUACGUAGAAAUAGCAGAGCAUCGCUCAUCGAGGGACCAAUUGGAUACUCGACGACGCAAUUAGAUGUGACCACAUCCACCGAUAUUACAGUUGAAAAUUAUGAAUCUUAGUCGUAGAAAUAAAUGUAUAGGAACACUCACAUUACACGCGGAAAUGAUAUUAAAAUAGUUUCAUAUUUAUUUAAUAUGUGAUUUACAAGAUAUUCGUGGAUAUACAUUGCACUCGUCUCAGCACUCUUUUUGUUUCACCAUCUUUCUAUCACUAUGCGUACAGAACAGUUGCGUUGAGGUUAACUGAUAGAGGAACGAUUGGAUGAAUUUGUAAUAGAAAAUACAUUGAAAUAAGUAUAAGUACAGGUUAAGUGAUAGAGAAACGAGUGAACGAACUUGUAAUAGAAAAAUAUAUUGAAAUAAGUAUAAGUAUAGUGUAUGAGGUUAAGAUCAAAUAAACUGUUGCGAUUAUUUAUUAAUUUGAUGUAUGAUAUUGUUGAGGUUAAGUGAUAGAGGGACCAGUGGAUGAAGUGGAAUAGAAAAGUAUAUUGAAAUAAGUAUAAGCAUAAGUAUAAGUACAGAGGUUGACUGACAAAGCAACGAGUGGAUGAAUUUGUAAUGGAAAAAUAUAUUGAAACAAGUAUAAGUACACGUAUAGUGUAUGAAAUGAAAAUCAAAUAAAUUAUUAUCACUAUUUAUUAAUUUGAUAUAUGAUAUUGUCGAGGUUAAGUGAUAGAGGGACCAGUGGAUGAAGUGGAAUAGAAAAGUAUAUUGAAAUAAGUAUAGGCAUAAGUAUAAGUACAGAGGUUGACUGACAAAGCAACGAGUGGAUGAAUUUGUAAUGGAAAAAUAUAUUGAAACAAGUAUAAGUACACGUAUAGUGUAUGAAAUGAAAAUCAAAUAAAUUAUUAUCACUAUUUAUUAAUUUGAUAUAUGAUAUUGUCGAGGUUAAGUGAUAGAGGGACCAGUGGAUGAAGUGGAAUAGAAAAGUAUAUUGAAAUAAGUAUAGGCAUAAGUAUAAGUACAGAGGUUGACUGACAAAGCAACGAGUGGAUGAAUUUGUAAUGGAAAAAUAUAUUGAAACAAGUAUAAGUACACGUAUAGUGUAUGAAAUGAAAAUCAAAUAAAUUAUUAUCACUAUUUAUUAAUUUGAUAUAUGAUAUUGUCGAGGUUAAGUGACAGAGGGAUCAGUGGAUGAAGUGGAACAGGAAAGUAUAUUGAAAUAAGUAUAGGCAUAAGUAUAAGUACAGGUAUAGUGUAUGAGGUCAAAAUCAAAUAAAUUGUUACCAUUAUUUAUUAAUUUAAUAUAUCAUAUUGUAGAGGUUGACUGACAAAGCAACGAGUGGAUGAAUUUGUAAUGGAAAAAUAUAUUGAAACAAGUAUAAGUACAUGUAUAGUGUAUGAAAUGAAAAUGAAAUAAAUUAUUAUCACUAUUUAUUAAUUUGAUAUAUGAUAUUGUCGAGGUUAAGUGACAGAGGGAUCAGUGGAUGAAGUGGAACAGGAAAGUAUAUUGAAAUAAGUAUAGGCAUAAGUAUAAGUACAGGUAUAGUGUAUGAGGUCAAAAUCAAAUAAAUUGUUACCAUUAUUUAUUAAUUUAAUAUGUCAUAUUGUAGAGGUUGUCUGACAAAGCAACGAGUGGAUGAAUUUGUAAUGGAAAAAUAUAUUGAAACAAGUAUAAGUACACGUAUAGUGUAUGAAAUGAAAAUCAAAUAAAUUAUUAUCACUAUUUAUUAAUUUGAUAUAUGAUAUUGUCGAGGUUAAGUGACAGAGGGAUCAGUGGAUGAAGUGGAACAGGAAAGUAUAUUGAAAUAAGUAUAGGCAUAAGUAUAAGUACAGGUAUAGUGUAUGAGGUCAAAAUCAAAUAAAUUGUUACCAUUAUUUAUUAAUUUAAUAUGUCAUAUUGUAGAGGUUGUCUGACAAAGCAACGAGUGGAUGAAUUUGUAAUGGAAAAAUAUAUUGAAACAAGUAUAAGUACACGUAUAGUGUAUGAAAUGAAAAUCAAAUAAAUUAUUAUCACUAUUUAUUAAUUUGAUAUAUGAUAUUGUCGAGGUUAAGUGACAGAGGGAUCAGUGGAUGAAGUGGAACAGGAAAGUAUAUUGAAAUAAGUAUAGACAUAAGUAUAAGUACAGGUAUAGUGUAUGAGGUCAAAAUCAAAUAAAUUGUUAUCACUGUUA